RNAcentral lists this transfer RNA (68 nucleotides) under Pseudohynobius flavomaculatus (yellow-spotted salamander). RNAcentral's name for it is "tRNA-Tyr". It matches the Rfam family "tRNA". Rfam says of the family: Transfer RNA (tRNA) molecules are approximately 80 nucleotides in length. Their secondary structure includes four short double-helical elements and three loops (D, anti-codon, and T loops). Further hydrogen bonds mediate the characteristic L-shaped molecular structure. tRNAs have two regions of fundamental functional importance: the anti-codon, which is responsible for specific mRNA codon recognition, and the 3' end, to which the tRNAs corresponding amino acid is attached (by aminoacyl-tRNA synthetases). tRNAs cope with the degeneracy of the genetic code in two manners: having more than one tRNA (with a specific anti-codon) for a particular amino acid; and 'wobble' base-pairing, i.e. permitting non-standard base-pairing at the 3rd anti-codon position. The record is from RNAcentral. Lineage: Eukaryota; Metazoa; Chordata; Amphibia; Caudata; Hynobiidae.
GGUAAAAUGGCUGAAUCAGGUGAAGGGUUGUAACCCCUUUUAUAAAGGUUUUAAUCCUUUUUUUACCA